UCCAGGGCCUAACCACUCUCCUAGUGAAGAACUUCCCCCUAACAUCCAACCUAAAUCUUCCCUCUUUUAACUUAAAACCAUUUCCCCGUGUCCUGCUAAUCCCAAACUAGAACACGACAAAUUAAACAGAUACCACCUUUCACAGCAUACUCCUCUUCCACUAUGGCCAUCAAGUAUUUGCUCUGUGUCUGCAAUAUAACCUUAUUCCAAAGAAAGCCACACUUUCUAAGGCAGAGCGGAGCAGUUCAGCAGCAGAACCACCACCUCACCCAGCCGAGCUCCAGGAGCAGAUGCCGAACCGCAUGGACAUACCUGAGGGAGCUCUCUCUUUGACACAGUAGGACAUUUUUUCCACAAAGUCUGCUGCUCAAUGUCCCAAUAUCUUACAUCAGCCCUGGACCCGCGCUGCCUGCGGGCGGGUCGCCGUCCAUCGCGGCCGCAGUCAUGUGAGGCCGCGGCCCGGCGGGCGCCCUCCCCUUCCUCCUCAGCGCCCGCCUGUCAGUGCGGGCGGGGCCGGGAGGGGGCGGCGGGGGCGGGUGGCGGCGCAGCCCCGGAGCCCUUGAGGUUGGAGUAGCGCUGUGAGGGCUGUAACGGCAGCUAGCCGAGCUCCACAACGCUACGGCUCCGCUGCGCCUCCGUGGCAGCUUUGGGGCUCCACAGCCCUACCUCUGGUUGUACUCCUGUCCUCAGUGUAAGGGAACCAGCGUUGGCAGUGUGAGGGUUCAUGGGUGUACAUGUAACAUGAAAUAAUACGGCCCUUCCAGUCACACGGAGAGCAGGACGUGCUACACAGCUCCAGGCAGACGAGACGUACCAACACAACGUUGGGUGUUUUCUUCCAUGGAAUUACCCUUUCCCACAGUGUUUCAUUCCUCCUGCCAUCUGGUCAUGCCCUUCAGAUGGUUCCUGCACUAAAUAUUUUAUAUCUUUUGAAGGAUUUAGAUACUUACAAAACAUUACUGAAAUCACUUGUUUUUUCCCCCUAAAGGAAAAGACUACAGAGACACAAACGAUUGGACAGAUUCUAUUUCCUUCUGGGAUCCCCACAAGUGUGGGUGCAGGCUGGAUCUGUGUGUAAAACCAAAACAUCGUGGCAUUACUUAAGCUGAGAGGCCCUUCAACUCGUGUUUGUGCAGCUGAGUGCUGAGUUCUGCAUGCUCAGCUCUUCUGGAAGCAGAGCACUGCAUCGCUUUUUGCCUAUAUAGCAUUUUUUGUUGAGAAAAUGAAUGGAGGAAUCAAUGUGUUCCUGUGUAACUACAGAUCUCCGAUGGGUCUGUGCUUCAGCUAAUAGCAUAACUACUUAUUUGGUAUAAAUAAGGUGCUCUAAUUUGAAGAUUGCUUCUGUUUGUCCCUGUGUAUUGUAAACACAGCAAAAGCUACUGGAAAACCUGUAGAGUGAAGAAACUAUCACUAGAAAAAGGGCUGAUGUCACCAAGAUGCAGGCAAUAAAUGUCACACACAAAUCCA
This 1467-nucleotide long non-coding RNA is filed under the name Coturnix japonica (Japanese quail). RNAcentral's name for it is "lncRNA (ENSCJPG00005007658.1)". The record is from RNAcentral. Lineage: Eukaryota; Metazoa; Chordata; Aves; Galliformes; Phasianidae.